UUAAGCGACUAAGCGUACACGGUGGAUGCCCUGGCAGUCAGAGGCGAUGAAGGACGUGCUAAUCUGCGAUAAGCGUCGGUAAGGUGAUAUGAACCGUUAUAACCGGCGAUUUCCGAAUGGGGAAACCCAGUGUGAUUCGUCACACUAUCAUUAACUGAAUCCAUAGGUUAAUGAGGCGAACCGGGGAACUGAAACAUCUAAGUACCCCGAGGAAAAGAAAUCAACCGAGAUUCCCCCAGUAGCGGCGAGCGAACGGGGAGCAGCCCAGAGCCUGAAUCAGUGUGUGUGUUAGUGGAAGCGUCUGGAAAGGCGCGCGAUACAGGGUGACAGCCCCGUACACAAAAAUGCACAUGCUGUGAGCUCGAUGAGUAGGGCGGGACACGUGGUAUCCUGUCUGAAUAUGGGGGGACCAUCCUCCAAGGCUAAAUACUCCUGACUGACCGAUAGUGAACCAGUACCGUGAGGGAAAGGCGAAAAGAACCCCGGCGAGGGGAGUGAAAAAGAACCUGAAACCGUGUACGUACAAGCAGUGGGAGCACAGAGCAAUCUGUGUGACUGCGUACCUUUUGUAUAAUGGGUCAGCGACUUAUAUUCUGUAGCAAGGUUAACCGAAUAGGGGAGCCGAAGGGAAACCGAGUCUUAACUGGGCGUUAAGUUGCAGGGUAUAGACCCGAAACCCGGUGAUCUAGCCAUGGGCAGGUUGAAGGUUGGGUAACACUAACUGGAGGACCGAACCGACUAAUGUUGAAAAAUUAGCGGAUGACUUGUGGCUGGGGGUGAAAGGCCAAUCAAACCGGGAGAUAGCUGGUUCUCCCCGAAAGCUAUUUAGGUAGCGCCUCGUGAAUUCAUCUCCGGGGUAGAGCACUGUUUCGGCAAGGGGUCAUCCCGACUUACCAACCCGAUGCAAACUGCGAAUACCGGAGAAUGUUAUCACGGGAGACACACGGCGGGUGCUAACGUCCGUCGUGAAGAGGAAACAACCCAGACCGCCAGCUAAGGUCCCAAAGUCAUGGUUAAGUGGGAAACGAUGUGGGAAGGCCCAGACAGCCAGGAUGUUGGCUUAGAAGCAGCCAUCAUUUAAAGAAAGCGUAAUAGCUCACUGGUCGAGUCGGCCUGCGCGGAAGAUGUAACGGGGCUAAACCAUGCACCGAAGCUGCGGCAGCGACACUAUGUGUUGUUGGGUAGGGGAGCGUUCUGUAAGCCUGUGAAGGUGUACUGUGAGGUAUGCUGGAGGUAUCAGAAGUGCGAAUGCUGACAUAAGUAACGAUAAAGCGGGUGAAAAGCCCGCUCGCCGGAAGACCAAGGGUUCCUGUCCAACGUUAAUCGGGGCAGGGUGAGUCGACCCCUAAGGCGAGGCCGAAAGGCGUAGUCGAUGGGAAACAGGUUAAUAUUCCUGUACUUGGUGUUACUGCGAAGGGGGACGGAGAAGGCUAUGUUGGCCGGGCGACGGUUGUCCCGGUUUAAGCGUGUAGGCUGGUUUUCCAGGCAAAUCCGGAAAAUCAAGGCUGAGGCGUGAUGACGAGGCACUACGGUGCUGAAGCAACAAAUGCCCUGCUUCCAGGAAAAGCCUCUAAGCAUCAGGUAACAUCAAAUCGUACCCCAAACCGACACAGGUGGUCAGGUAGAGAAUACCAAGGCGCUUGAGAGAACUCGGGUGAAGGAACUAGGCAAAAUGGUGCCGUAACUUCGGGAGAAGGCACGCUGAUAUGUAGGUGAAGUCCCUCGCGGAUGGAGCUGAAAUCAGUCGAAGAUACCAGCUGGCUGCAACUGUUUAUUAAAAACACAGCACUGUGCAAACACGAAAGUGGACGUAUACGGUGUGACGCCUGCCCGGUGCCGGAAGGUUAAUUGAUGGGGUCAGCGCAAGCGAAGCUCUUGAUCGAAGCCCCGGUAAACGGCGGCCGUAACUAUAACGGUCCUAAGGUAGCGAAAUUCCUUGUCGGGUAAGUUCCGACCUGCACGAAUGGCGUAAUGAUGGCCAGGCUGUCUCCACCCGAGACUCAGUGAAAUUGAACUCGCUGUGAAGAUGCAGUGUACCCGCGGCAAGACGGAAAGACCCCGUGAACCUUUACUAUAGCUUGACACUGAACAUUGAGCCUUGAUGUGUAGGAUAGGUGGGAGGCUUUGAAGUGUGGACGCCAGUCUGCAUGGAGCCGACCUUGAAAUACCACCCUUUAAUGUUUGAUGUUCUAACGUUGACCCGUAAUCCGGGUUGCGGACAGUGUCUGGUGGGUAGUUUGACUGGGGCGGUCUCCUCCUAAAGAGUAACGGAGGAGCACGAAGGUUGGCUAAUCCUGGUCGGACAUCAGGAGGUUAGUGCAAUGGCAUAAGCCAGCUUGACUGCGAGCGUGACGGCGCGAGCAGGUGCGAAAGCAGGUCAUAGUGAUCCGGUGGUUCUGAAUGGAAGGGCCAUCGCUCAACGGAUAAAAGGUACUCCGGGGAUAACAGGCUGAUACCGCCCAAGAGUUCAUAUCGACGGCGGUGUUUGGCACCUCGAUGUCGGCUCAUCACAUCCUGGGGCUGAAGUAGGUCCCAAGGGUAUGGCUGUUCGCCAUUUAAAGUGGUACGCGAGCUGGGUUUAGAACGUCGUGAGACAGUUCGGUCCCUAUCUGCCGUGGGCGCUGGAGAACUGAGGGGGGCUGCUCCUAGUACGAGAGGACCGGAGUGGACGCAUCACUGGUGUUCGGGUUGUCAUGCCAAUGGCACUGCCCGGUAGCUAAAUGCGGAAGAGAUAAGUGCUGAAAGCAUCUAAGCACGAAACUUGCCCCGAGAUGAGUUCUCCCUGACUCCUUGAGAGUCCUGAAGGAACGUUGAAGACGACGACGUUGAUAGGCCGGGUGUGUAAGCGCAGCGAUGCGUUGAGCUAACCGGUACUAAUGAACCGUGAGGCUUAACCU
This 2897-nucleotide ribosomal RNA is filed under the name Escherichia coli. RNAcentral describes it as "23S ribosomal RNA". It matches the Rfam family "Bacterial large subunit ribosomal RNA". Lineage: Bacteria; Pseudomonadati; Pseudomonadota; Gammaproteobacteria; Enterobacterales; Enterobacteriaceae. The record is from RNAcentral.